UACAGAGGUCUCAAGCGUUGUUCGGAUUCAUUGGGCGUAAAGGGUGCGUAGGCGGCGCGGUAAGUCGGGUGUGAAAUCUCGGAGCUUAACUCCGAAACUGCAUUCGAUACUGUAUGGCUAGAGUACUGGAGAGGUUGGUGGAAUUCUCGGUGUAGAGGUGAAAUUCGUAGAUAUCGAGAGGAACACCGGUGGCGAAGGCGGCCAACUGGACAGAUACUGACGCUGAGACACGAAAGCGUGGGGAGCAAACAGG
RNAcentral lists this ribosomal RNA (253 nucleotides) under uncultured bacterium. RNAcentral's name for it is "partial 16S ribosomal RNA". It matches the Rfam family "Bacterial small subunit ribosomal RNA", at positions 524 to 776 of the family's 1533-position model. The record is from RNAcentral.